This 33-nucleotide transfer RNA is filed under the name Pristimantis ridens (pygmy robber frog). RNAcentral describes it as "partial tRNA-Met". Lineage: Eukaryota; Metazoa; Chordata; Amphibia; Anura; Strabomantidae. The record is from RNAcentral.
CAGUAAAGGAGGGUUGUUAGCCGACAUUUUUGG